RNAcentral lists this ribosomal RNA (645 nucleotides) under uncultured bacterium. RNAcentral describes it as "bacterial SSU rRNA". It matches the Rfam family "Bacterial small subunit ribosomal RNA", at positions 110 to 753 of the family's 1533-position model. The record is from RNAcentral.
GUAACACGUAUGCAACCUACCCUUUACUGGGGCAUAGCUCAGAGAAAUCUGAAUUAAUUCCCCAUAAUACAAUUGAAUGGCAUCAUUUGAUUAUUAAAGUUGAGGCGGUAAAGGAUGGGCAUGCGUUGCAUUAGCUAGUUGGUGAGGUAAUGGCUCACCAAGGCUACGAUGCAUAGGGGUUCUGAGAGGAUGAUCCCCCACACUGGUACUGAGACACGGACCAGACUCCUACGGGAGGCAGCAGUAGGGAAUAUUGGUCAAUGGACGCAAGUCUGAACCAGCCAUGCCGCGUGCAGGAAGACGGCCCUCUGGGUUGUAAACUGCUUUUAUAUGGGAAGAAACCUCAUUAUGCGUAAUGAACUGACGGUACCAUAUGAAUAAGGAUCGGCUAACUCCGUGCCAGCAACCGCGGUAAGACGAAGGAUCCAAGCGUUGUCCGGAUUUACUGGGUUUAAAGGGUGCGUAGGCGGAAUUUUAAGUCAGUGGUGAAAGCCCUUCGCUCAACGAAGGAACUGCCAUUGAAACUGAAAUUCUUGAAUACGGUUGAGGUAGAUGGAAUAUAACAUGUAGCGGUGAAAUGCUUAGAUAUGUUAUAGAACACCGAUUGCGAAGGCAGUCUACUAAGCCGUGAUCGACGCUGAGGCA